Molecule: ribosomal RNA, 523 nt
Filed under: uncultured bacterium
Lineage: Bacteria
Description: bacterial SSU rRNA
Rfam family: Bacterial small subunit ribosomal RNA
Source: RNAcentral
AGAGUUUGAUCAUGGCUCAGAUUGAACGCUGGCGGAAUGCUUAACACAUGCAAGUCGAGCGGCAGCAUGCCCUUCGGGGUGAUGGCGAGCGGCGGACGGGUGAGUAAUACAUAGGAAUCUGCCCUAGAGUGGGGGAUAGCCCGGGGAAACUCGGAUUAAUACCGCAUAAUCUCUACGGAGCAAAGUGGGGGAUCUUCGGACCUCACGCUUUAGGAUGAGCCUAUGGCCGAUUAGCUUGUUGGUGAGGUAACGGCUCACCAAGGCCACGAUCGGUAGCUGGUUUGAGAGGAUGAUCAGCCACACUGGGACUGAGACACGGCCCAGACUCCUACGGGAGGCAGCAGUGGGGAAUAUUGGACAAUGGGCGAAAGCCUGAUCCAGCAAUUCCGCGUGUGUGAAGAAGGCCUUAGGGUUGUAAAGCACUUUAAUCAGGGAAGAAAAAGCUUUGGCUAAUAUCCAAAGCCUUGACGGUACCUGAAGAAUAAGCACCGGCAAACUCUGUGCCAGCCGGCCGCGGUAAUUC